CGUGUGGUCACGCUGCAGACAGGUGGAAAUCUGAGUCUGACCCAGAAUCAGCUGAACCGGACUUUGAUGAACCAGACUUGGCUGCAGCACUCCUUCUUCUCAGGAUGGUUCGGCUUCAGCGAGGUGGCGGGUA
Nematolebias whitei (Rio pearlfish) is the source of this 133-nucleotide long non-coding RNA. RefSeq lists it as uncharacterized. The record is from RefSeq and is a predicted model, not a curated record. Lineage: Eukaryota; Metazoa; Chordata; Actinopteri; Cyprinodontiformes; Rivulidae. The transcript has 3 exons.